Molecule: unclassified non-coding RNA, 243 nt
Filed under: Strongyloides procyonis
Lineage: Eukaryota; Metazoa; Nematoda; Chromadorea; Rhabditida; Strongyloididae
Description: ITS2
Source: RNAcentral
AUAACAAGUAGUAUUGUAUAUUAUUUUUUUUUAUAUAAAAAAUUUAAUAUAUUUAUAAAAUAUUUUUAUAUUAAUAUAAAAAGUAUUUUUAUUGUAUAUUUUUUUUUUUAUAAUAUAAAAAAAAAUUAUAUCAUGUUUGAUAUAUAUAUUUUUUUUUAAAUAAAAAAAAAAAAACUUUUAUUAAAAAAAUAAAAUAAUAAUAAUAAUAAUUUAUUUUUAUUAUUUUUUUUUUCUUAUAAUUUU